AUUGAACGCUGGCGGCAGGCCUAACACAUGCAAGUCGAACGGUAACAGGAAGCAGCUUGCUGCUUUGCUGACGAGUGGCGGGCGGGUGAGUAAUGUCUGGGAAACUGCCUGAUGGAGGGGGAUAACUACUGGAAACGGUAGCUAAUACCGCAUAACGUCGCAAGACCAAAGAGGGGGACCUUAGGGCCUCUUGCCAUCGUAUGUGCCCAGAUGGGAUUAGCUAGUGGGUGGGGUAACGGCUCACCUGGGCGACGAUCCCUAGCUGGUCUGAGAGGAUGACCAGCCACCCUGGAACUGAGACACGGUCCAGACUCCUACGGGAGGCAGCAGUGGGGAAUAUUGCACAAUGGGCGCAAGCCUGAUGCAGCCAUGCCGCGUGUAUGAAGAAGGCCUUCGGGUUGUAAAGUACUUUCAGCGGGGAGGAAGGGAGUAAAGUUAAUACCUUUGCUCAUUGACGUUACCCGCAGAAGAAGCACCGGCUAACUCCGUG
RNAcentral lists this ribosomal RNA (490 nucleotides) under uncultured bacterium. Its description in RNAcentral is "partial 16S ribosomal RNA". It matches the Rfam family "Bacterial small subunit ribosomal RNA", at positions 30 to 507 of the family's 1533-position model. The record is from RNAcentral.